GAUCCCCAAAGCUCAGAAAAGCGUGCUUGUCUCCUAUGAGCUUCUUACUGCGGCAUGCGGCUGGCUCCUUAAAUGGUAUAAUCUAUUCAUGGUGUUCACUACGUGGAUUGUGUGGUAAUUCUUAACUAAUAAAUGCGCCCCAACCCGACUUCGUGGAAGGGUUGUGUUUAUCUAAUGCAUGACCAACCCAAGAUCUGCCUGGUAUUGUGGUGUUUCCUAUUAACCGAACGAAACCCUUGGCUUCCGCUGGCGAUAAAUCAUUCCCGUUCCUGACCUAACAGCUUCCGACGGUAUUGUAUUCUCCUACCGUGGCAAUGACAGGUAACCGAAAAUUACGGUCCUAUUUCUGAGAGGAAGCCUAACAAAUCACUACCACGUCUAAGGAAGGCUACACGCGCACAAAUGACCCAACCCUGACACAGGGAGGUAGUGACAAGAAUAACAAUACAGGGCAUCCAUGACUUGUACUUGGACUGAGUAUAAUUUAAAUCCCUUCUCCA
Molecule: ribosomal RNA, 500 nt
Filed under: uncultured eukaryote
Lineage: Eukaryota
Description: SSU rRNA
Rfam family: Eukaryotic small subunit ribosomal RNA
Source: RNAcentral